This 355-nucleotide ribosomal RNA is filed under the name Dromius quadrimaculatus. RNAcentral's name for it is "SSU rRNA". It matches the Rfam family "Eukaryotic small subunit ribosomal RNA", at positions 583 to 885 of the family's 1831-position model. The record is from RNAcentral. Lineage: Eukaryota; Metazoa; Arthropoda; Insecta; Coleoptera; Carabidae.
UUCCAGCUCCAAUAGCGUAUAUUAAAGUUGUUGCGGUUAAAAAGCUCGUAGUUGAAUUUGUGUCCCGCACUGUCGGUUCACCGCCCGCGGUGCUAACUGGCAUGAUUGUGGGACGUCCUGCCGGUGGAUGUAAGUGAGAGAUUUCGGUCUUUUGCACAUCCGACUUAUAAAUCCUGUCGCGGUGCUCUUAAUUGAGUGUCGAGGCGGGCCGGCACGUUUACUUUGAACAAAUUAAAGUGCUCAAAGCAGGCUAAUUAAUGCCUGAAUAAUUAGUGCAUGGAAUAAUGGAACAGGACCUUGGUUCUAUUUUGUUGGUUUUCGGAACCCCAAGGUAAUGAUUAAUAGGGACAGGUGG